RNAcentral lists this ribosomal RNA (492 nucleotides) under uncultured bacterium. RNAcentral's name for it is "partial 16S ribosomal RNA". It matches the Rfam family "Bacterial small subunit ribosomal RNA", at positions 29 to 507 of the family's 1533-position model. The record is from RNAcentral.
AGUGAACGCUGGCGGUAGGCCUAACACAUGCAAGUCGAACGGCAGCACAGUAAGAGCUUGCUCUUACGGGUGGCGAGUGGCGGACGGGUGAGGAAUACAUCGGAAUCUACUUUUUCGUGGGGGAUAACGUAGGGAAACUUACGCUAAUACCGCAUACGACCUACGGGUGAAAGCAGGGGAUCUUCGGACCUUGCGCGAUUGAAUGAGCCGAUGUCGGAUUAGCUAGUUGGCGGGGUAAAGGCCCACCAAGGCGACGAUCCGUAGCUGGUCUGAGAGGAUGAUCGGCCACACUGGAACUGAGACACGGUCCAGACUCCUACGGGAGGCAGCAGUGGGGAAUAUUGGACAAUGGGCGCAAGCCUGAUCCGGCCAUACCGCGUGGGUGAAGAAGGCCUUCGGGUUGUAAAGCCCUUUUGUUGGGAAGGAAAAGCAGCAGGUUAAUACCCCGCUGUUCUGACGGUACCCAAAGAAUAAGCACCGGCUAACUUCGUG